Molecule: non-coding RNA, 22807 nt
Organism: Xyrichtys novacula (pearly razorfish)
Lineage: Eukaryota; Metazoa; Chordata; Actinopteri; Labriformes; Labridae
Source: the annotation of a GenBank genome assembly
GCGCUAUGGAGCCAUUUUGCAUUUUCUUGUUUGGGCGACUUCGGAAUAUCAAAUUUUUCACCAGGCCCGGUCGUCCUGCCAAAUUUCAUGAGUUUUCGCCAGUGGGAAGUGGGCCAUUUUCCAGUUCAAAGGGGAGGAAAAAUAAUAACUAGGGCCCCGUUGGGGCACUGGCGGGCCCGAGCCGUGUCGCGCCCCCUCCCCAACGCGAUCGCCUCCCCGUCCCAUUCUCUUCCUCUGGCCAUCGCCCUCUCUGGUAACGCCCAUCACUACAAAGACCCUUAUCCUUCAUCGGCGUUUGUGGUUCUUCCCGCCAGUGUGUGUCCAACGCUUUUGCGCGUUGAAAGGUUAGGGUCUCCACUAAAGGUCAGAGGUCAAAUAACAUUUGUAUCUCAAACUGUGACGUCACAGUCAGGGUCCAAAGAUGGUGUGCGCAACUGUCUUUGGUCAUUUCCCAUUAUAAUGAAUGGGAGGCACAGUCUCUACCAAAACGCUCGCUGCAGAAAAACUACGUGUCCUUUUUGAAAAAAGUCUGGACCAUGAGUGAGGGCACAAACACAGCUAGUAUAUAUCCAAAUGGCAAGUUGCUCCUCCUUUCGGUUUUGCCGAGAGAGCGAUGCGUUUGAGCCAUUGAGCGAUGGGCAGGAAAAACUUGACUUUUUCUCCUGCCAUGGGGGGCGCUCUUUUGGGGAGAAAAAAUUCCUUCACAAAUGUGUUGAUGGCUGGACAUUGCAUCAUCCUAGAAAACUUGGAGGCCAGUGAGGACAAAAAUAAAAAGUUAUAAGACUUUUAAAAAUGUGGAUAUUUGGGUCCUCUUUGGCGCCCCCUAGAACGUAAACUGUGGGGUGCAGCGUCAUGAUUUGUACAACUUUGAAUGGCCAUGGGGUGUAGAUUGACCUGAGCAAAUUUGAAGCCGAUGGGACAAAAGAUUUAGGAGGAGUUAGCCACAUUCCAAUGUGUGCGAAUCGGCAAAAAAUGCGAAAUAGCCCUUUAACCGUACAUUGAACAGAUACGCUCGCAUUGACUUUUUCGUAGAUCUUAUUGAGAUACAUGUGUGUGUCAAAUUUUGUGUCAUUUUGACAAAGCGUAAAGGCGUGACAGUCAACAAUGUGUAUUUUCGCCUUAGGAUACAAGAAAAAAUGGACUUUUUUCUCCUGCCAUGGGGGGGGGGGGCGCUCUUUUGGCGAGUAAAAAUUCCUUCACAAAUGUGUUGAUGGCUGGACAUUGCAUCAUCCUAGAGAACUUGGAGGCCAGUGAGGACAAAAAUAAAAAGUUAUAAGACUUUUAAGACUGUGGAUUUUUGGGUUAUCUUUGGCGCCCCCUAGAACGUAAACCGUGGGGUGCAGCGUCAUGAUUUGUACAACUUUUAAUGGCCAUGGGGUGUAGAUUGGCCUGAGCAAAUGUGGUGCCUUUGAAACGAAAGCCUUCGGAGGAGUUAGCCACAUUCCAAUGUGUGCGGAUCGGCAAAAAAUGCGAAAUAGCCCUUUAACCGUACAUUUGACAGAUACGCCCGCACUGACUUUUUUGUAGAUCUUAUUGAGAUACAUGUGUGUGUCAAUUUUUGUGUCAUUUUGCCAAAGCGUACAGGUAUUACACUCAACAAUGUGUAUUUUCACCUUAGGGGACAAGAAAAAAUUGACUUUUUUCUCCUGCCAUGGGGGGGCGCUCUUUUGGGGAGUAAAAAUUCCUUCACAAAUGUGUUGAUGGCUGGACAUUGCAUCAUCCUAGAAAACUUGGAGGCCAGUGAGGGCAAAAAUAAAAAGUUAUAAGACUUUUAAAUAUGUGGAUCUUAGGGUUAUCUUUGGCGCCCCCUAGAACCUAAACCGUGGGGUGCAGCGUCAUGAUUUGAAUAACUUUUAAUGGCCAUGGGGUGUAGAUUGGCCUGAGCAAAUGUGGUGCCGGUGGAACGAAAGCCUUCGGAGGAGUUAGCGAAAUUCCAAUGUGUGCGGAUCGGCAAAAAAUGCGAAAUAACCCUUUAACCGUACAUUUGACAGAUACGCCCGCACUGACUUUUUUGUAGAUCUUAUUGAGAUACAUGUGUGUGUCAAUUUUUGUGUCAAAUGACAAAGCGUACAGGCGUGACAGUCAAUAGUGUGAAUUUUCACCUUAGGGGGCGCUAUGGAGCCAUUUUGCAUUUUAUUGUUUGGGCGACUUCAGAAUAUCGAAUUUUUCACCAGGCCCGGUCGUCCUGCCAAAUUUCAUGAGUUUUCGCCAGUGGGAAGUGGGCCAUUUUCCAGUUCAAAGGGGAGAAAAAAAGAAAGAAAGAAAGAAAAAGAAAGAACUAGGGCCCCGUUGGGGCACUGGCGGGCCCGAGCCGUGUCGCGCCCCCUCCCCAACGCGAUCGCCCUCCCCGUCCCAUUCUCUUCCUCUGGCCAUCGCCCUCUCUGGUAACGCCCAUCACUACAAAGACCCUUAUCCUUCAUCGGCGUUUGUGGUUCUUCCCGCCAGUGUGUGUCCAACGCUUUUGCGCGUUGAAAGGUUAGGGUCUCCACUAAAGGUCAGAGGUCAAAUAACAUUUGUAUCUCAAACUGUGACGUCACAGUCAGGGUCCAAAGAUGGUGUGCGCAACUGUCUUUGGUCAUUUCCCAUUAUAAUGAAUGGGAGGCACAGUCUCUACCAAAACGCUCGCUGCAGAAAAACUACGUGUCCUUUUUGAAAAAAGUCUGGACCAUGAGUGAGGGCACAAACACAGCUAGUAUAUAUCCAAAUGGCAAGUUGCUCCUCCUUUCGGUUUUGCCGAGAGAGCGAUGCGUUUGAGCCAUUGAGCGAUGGGCAGGAAAAACUUGACUUUUUCUCCUGCCAUGGGGGGGCGCUCUUUUGGGGAGAAAAAAUUCCUUCACAAAUGUGUUGAUGGCUGGACAUUGCAUCAUCCUAGAAAACUUGGAGGCCAGUGAGGACAAAAAUAAAAAGUUAUAAGACUUUUAAAAAUGUGGAUAUUUGGGUCCUCUUUGGCGCCCCCUAGAACGUAAACUGUGGGGUGCAGCGUCAUGAUUUGUACAACUUUGAAUGGCCAUGGGGUGUAGAUUGACCUGAGCAAAUUUGAAGCCGAUGGGACAAAAGAUUUAGGAGGAGUUAGCCACAUUCCAAUGUGUGCGAAUCCGCAAAAAAUGCGAAAUAGCCCUUUAACCGUACAUUGAACAGAUACGCUCGCAUUGACUUUUUCGUAGAUCUUAUUGAGAUACAUGUGUGUGUCAAAUUUUGUGUCAUUUUGACAAAGCGUAAAGGCGUGACAGUCAACAAUGUGUAUUUUCGCCUUAGGAUACAAGAAAAAAUGGACUUUUUUCUCCUGCCAUGGGGGGGGCUCUUUUGGCGAGUAAAAAUUCCUUCACAAAUGUGUUGAUGGCUGGACAUUGCAUCAUCCUAGAGAACUUGGAGGCCAGUGAGGACAAAAAUAAAAAGUUAUAAGACUUUUAAGACUGUGGAUUUUUGGGUUAUCUUUGGCGCCCCCUAGAACGUAAACCGUGGGGUGCAGCGUCAUGAUUUGUACAACUUUUAAUGGCCAUGGGGUGUAGAUUGGCCUGAGCAAAUGUGGUGCCUUUGAAACGAAAGCCUUCGGAGGAGUUAGCGAAAUUCCAAUGUGUGCGGAUCGGCAAAAAAUGCGAAAUAGCCCUUUAACCGUACAUUUGACAGAUACGCCCGCACUGACUUUUUUGUAGAUCUUAUUGAGAUACAUGUGUGUGUCAAUUUUUGUGUCAAUAUGACAAAGCUUAAAGGCGUGACAGUCAAUAGUGUGAAUUUUCGCCUUAGGAGACAAGAAAAAAUUGACUUUUUUCUCCUGCCAUGGGGGGGCGCUCUUUUGGCGAGUAAAAAUUCCUUCACAAAUGUGUUGAUGGCUGGACAUUGCAUCAUCCUAGAGAACUUGGAGGCCAGUGAGGACAAAAAUAAAAAGUUAUAAGACUUUUAAGACUGUGGAUUUUUGGGUUAUCUUUGGCGCCCCCUAGAACGUAAACCGUGGGGUGCAGCGUCAUGAUUUGUACAACUUUUAAUGGCCAUGGGGUGUAGAUUGGCCUGAGCAAAUGUGGUGCCGGUGGAACGAAAGCCUUCGGAGGAGUUAGCGAAAUUCCAAUGUGUGCGGAUCGGCAAAAAAUGCAAAAUAACCCUUUAACCGUACAUUUGACAGAUACGCCCGCACUGACUUUUUUGUAGAUCUUAUUGAGAUACAUGUGUGUGUCAAUUUUUGUGUCAAUAUGACAAAGCGUAAAGGCGUGACAGUCAAUAGUGUGAAUUUUCACCUUAGGGGGCGCUAUGGAGCCAUUUUGCAUUUUAUUGUUUGGGCGACUUCAGAAUAUCGAAUUUUUCACCAGGCCCAUUCGUCCUGCCAAAUUUCAUGAGUUUUCGCCAGUGGGAAGUGGGCCAUUUUCCCCUUCAAAGGGGAGGAAAAAUAAGAAGAAAGAAAGAAAGAAAGAAAGAACUAGGGCCCCGUUGGGGCACUGGCGGGCCCGAGCCGUGUCGCACCCCCCCCCCCCCCCAACGCGCUGCCUCCCCGUCCCAUUUGUGUCCUCUGGCCAUCGCCCUCUCUGGUGACGCCCAUCACUGCAAAGACCCUUUUCCUUCAUCGGCGUUUGCUGUUCUUCCUGCCAGUGCGUGUUGCUUUCACUUACACUUGCCACAGCCAGCCUCGUGAGUGCCUAGCCUAUUGGAUAUCACUGUCACCUACACAGGACAGUCAUACUUUGUUUUUUAAUUUCACAUUAAUUUCCUUAUUGUAUAAACGACUGGAAAAAACUUGAGCCCCUGCCCCUGUAUUAUCAUGUGCACGUCCCUGUUCUAGCUCCAAGGUGAAUCUUCACUGCUCAUGUUCUCCUCAGAAGCAGUCACCUCACUCCCCUCAGGUUACUGUACACAUGCACCAACUGCCUGCUUCAGGUUUGGAUGGAGCUUCAUGGUUGUCUUUUGGAGAAAUGAGCAGUCAAGUUGUGUUUGAAAUUUGAUUUUUUUCAGGGGCAAAAGGAAGCCUCUGCAUUCUUGUCAAAUAUGUAAAUAGCAUGUAUUUGCAGGUGCUAAAAAACAGACUCUGAGUGUGUGUGUGUGUGUGUGUGUGUGUGCGUGUGUGUGUGUGUGUCUGUGUGUGUGUGUGUGUGUGUAUCCUGCAGUACUCUGAGAAGAAUAAUAAGCAUAUUUCUGAGGUGAAUUUUGAAGAUUCAUCUGAGAGUUAGGUUUGAUUCGAUUCGAUUGACGCUCCCCAGCGUUCAAGUCACAUGACAUAUUUAACCGGAUGUAGCUGCAAGACGGAGCCUCGUUAAUUCUCUGUUUCAACUUAUCUCAAAAGUGAGGACCUCAACCUAUAUACCAGUUUUUAAAUUGUGUUGAUAGGCCAAAUAAAACCAGAGUUAUGAUAAAUUAUGUCCGUGAUACUUUUUUUCUGCUUAUUUUGAUCACGUUCGGCGCUCGAUCGCGCUGUAUGAGACAGGAAAACAUAGCAUGCACACAUUAGCGACAGGUCUUACAGGCGGAAAAGGCUUGCCUAAAGAAAAAAAAAACACACCACAACAUCUCUCCUAUUGGUGGAAAACUUCACCACAACAACCAAUCCAAAAUUAUAUGGUGACUGAUUGACAAGGGGCGGGCGCUUACGUUCUUCCUGCAACAUGAGAAGGGAGGGAGGGACUCUCAGCAGGGAUGCAGUCUGGGACACGUAGUUGCAAACCUAGCGACUUUGUUGUUAGAUUCAAUUACUUUUCAGACCCCCUAACGACUUUAGAAAGAAAGGGACUUUUAUCGACUUCUUCUGGAGUUUAGAGACUCUGACAUGAAGCAGGCUUUCCUUACUGAGGAGUUAGCAACGCUGCUAAGGGUGCAGAGCCACACAUGCGCUCCGAGCUCUGCAUGGGAGACUGAAGCUGACAGAGCUGCAGCAGUUAGCAGGUUUCACCCUCAGAGACCACCAGGGGUUCAUGUUGAGGCAUUUUCAGUUUUUGUUUUUUUUGCCAUAGACACUGUCAGCACAAUCUGCAGUUACACUAACAAAAAUGCUGCAAAAAACAAAGAAUUAUGGAAAAAUUACACAUGGACUGACAUAGAGGAGGAUCUACACAAGUUUUUUACAUCAUGUUUUACAUCAUGCAUCAUUUACAUCAUGUUUUUUUGUAGUGGCAUAAAUAAAAAGUGACAUUUGUGAGACUAUACAGUGUUUUGUAAAUAAUUUUACAAAGAACGCCUGGGCCAUUGCCUGCAUUUUGAUGUAAAUAGAGGUAAAUUACUAUGUUCUUUGUUAAAAAUUUGCAUAUGUUUUGAAGUUUACAAUUUUUAUUUGAAGUUUAAGUUUUAAAAACAGUUCAUCACACAUAUUUGUGGUUUAAUUUCACAUUAAUUUCCAUAUUGUAUAAAUGACUGGAAAAAACUUGAGCCCCUGCCCCUGUAUAAUCAUGUGCACGUCCCUGUUCUAGCUCCAAGGUGAAUCGUCACUGCUCAUGUUCUCCUCAGAAAUAGUCACCUCACUCCCCUCAGGUUACUGUACACAUGCACCAACUAUCUGCUUCAGGUUUGGAUGGAGCUUCAUGGUUGUCUUUUGGAGAAAUGAACAGUCAAGUUGUGUUUGAAAUCUGAUUUUUUUCAGGGGCAAAAGGAAGCCUCUGCAUUCUUGUCAAAUAUGUAAACAGCAUGUUUUUGCAGGUGCUAAAAAACAGACUCUGAGUGUGUGUGUGUGUGUGUGUGUGUGUGUGUGUAUAUGUGUGUGUAUCCUGCAGUACUCUGUACUCCUGCAGUGGCCAAAAAGACUUUUAAGAAUGUGGAUUUUUGGGUCAUCUUUGGCGCCCCCUAGAACUGCAGUACUCUGUACUCCUGCAGUGUCCAAAAUGACUUUUAAGAAUGUGGAUUUUUGGGUCAUCUUUGGCGCCCCCUAGAACGUAAACCGUGGGGUGCAGCGUCAUGAUUUUUACAACUUUGAAUGGCCAUGGGGUGUAGAUUGCCCUGAGCAAAUUUGGUAUCGGUGGGACGAAAGCCUUGGGAGGAGAUAGCCACAUUCCAAUGUGUGCGAAUCGGCAAAAAAUGCGAAAUAGCCCUUUAACCGUACAUUAUACAGAUACGCGCUUUUUGACUUUUUCGUAGAUCUUAUUGAGAUACACGUGUGUGUCAAAUUUUGUGUCAAUAUGACAAAGCGUUCAGGCGUGACACUCAACAAUGUGUAUUUUCAUGUAAGGGGACAAGAAAAAAUUGACUUUUUUCUCCUGCCAUGGGGGGGGCGCUCUUUUGGGGAGUAAAAAUUCCUUCACAAAUGUGUUGAUGGCUGGACAUUGCAUCAUCCUAGAAAACUUGGAGGGCAGUGAGGACAAAAAUAAAAAGUUAUAAGACUUUUAAGAAUGUGGAUUUUGGGUUAUCUUUGGCGCCCCCUAGAACGUAAACCGUGGGGUGCAGCGUCAUGAUUUGUACAACUUUUAAUGGCCAUGGGGGGUAGAUUGGCCAGCGCAAAUGUGGUGCCGGUCGAACGAAAGCCUUCGGAGGAGUUAGCGAAAUUCCAAUGUGUGCAGAUCUGCAAAAAAUGCAAAAUAACCCAUUAACCGUACAUUUGACAGAUACGCCCGCACUGACUUUUUUGUAGAUCUUAUUGAGAUACAUGUGUGUGUCAAUUUUUGUGUCAAUAUGACAAAGCGUACAGCCGUCAUGUGAAUUUUCACCUUAGGGGGCGCUAUGGAGCCAUUUUGCAUUUUAUUGUUUGGGCGACUUCAGAAUAUCGAAUUUUUCACCAGGCCCGGUCGUCCUGCCAAAUUUCCUGAGUUUUCGCCAGUGGGAAGUGGGCCAUUUUCCAGUUUAAAGCGGAGGAAAAAUAAUAACGAAAGAAGGAAACAUGCAGGAACAAGAGGGCUCUCGCAGCUGCUUAGCAGCUACGCUCGGGCCCUAAAGAAAGAAGAAAGAAAAACCCAUACAGGAACAAUAGGGCUCUCGCAGCUGCUUAGCAGCUACGCUCGGGCCCUAAUAACGAAAGAAGAAUCCAUCAGGAACAAGAGGGCUCUCGCAGCUGCUUAGCAGCUACGCUCGGGCCCUAAAUAUAUUUUUGCAGUGUUAAGGCUUCCUUAAGGUAAUACCCGGGUAUUAGGUCACGGGGCUAGGGUAAGGUUUAAGGUUUUUUAUCGUGAGGGUUAAAAUCACUGUCCAAUAUUUUUUAGGAAUAUGUUUAAGACCUUUUGGAGUUAGUAAGACCAAAAAAAUGUAGAAUGAAAAAAAACAAUUUGGGGUUGUAGGGCUUCCUUAAGGUAAUACCCGGGUAUUAGGUUAUGGGGCUAGGGUAAGGUUAAAGGUUUUUGGCGUUAGGGUUAAAAUCACUGUCCAAAACCUUUGUAGGAACAUGUUUCAGACCUUUUGGAGUUAGUUAGACCAAAAAAAACGAAAAAUAAAAAAGAUACUUUGGGGCAUGUAGGGCUUCCUUUAGGUAAUACCCGGAUAUUAGGUUACACGGCUAGGUAAAGUUUAAAGGUUUUUGGCGUUAGGGUUAAAAUCACUGUCCAAAACCUUUGUAGGAUCUCUUUUCCAACCUUUUUGCGUUAGUUUGACAAAAAAAAAAAAAAAAAACGAAAAAUGAAAUAAAAAUUUUUUGGGGUGUGGGUAAGAGAUACAGUGAUAGCCCCCGCAUUCGUCAGUUGACUUGGCGGUUUGGGGUAGGCUGAUCAAGGGCUUGCACUGGCCGGCGCAUGUCGACCUGUCACAUGUUCCCAGUCGAGUCUCUGAGCUCAAUCUGUGUGUAAAAAUUAUGUGUUGGUAGGAAGUUUAAUGACUCAGCUCAAUUGGUAUGCUAUGCUGUCUAUCUUUUAGACUAUGUGUUUGUAGAGCAAUUAUUUUUGGAGGUUCAGUUAGGGAUUAGAGUUGGUAUGGUUAAGUGUGAAAAUAAUAAUAACUAGGGCCCCGGUGGGGCACUGUCGGGCCCGAGCAGCGUCGCGCCGCCCCCAGCGCGACCGCCUCCCCCUCCCGAUCGCGUCACACUCAAGGUCCAAAGAUGGUGUGCGCACUUGUCUGUGGUCAUUUCCCAUUAUAAUGAAUGGGAGACGCAGUUUCUACCAAAACACUCGCUGCAGACAAACUACAUGUCCUAUUUGAAAACAGUCUGGACCAUGAGUGAGGGCACAAACACAGCUAGGAUAUAUCCAAAUGGCAAGUUGCUCCUCGUUACGGUGUUGCCGGGAGAGCGAUGCGAUUGAGCCAUUGAGCGAUGGGCAGGAAAAACUUGACUUUUCCUCCUGCCUUGGGGGGGGGGGGAUUCUUUUAAGAAUGUGGAUAUUUGGGUCAUCUUUGGCGCCCCUUAGAACGUAAACCGUGGGGUGCAGCGUCAUGAUUUUUACAACUUUGAAUGGCCAUGGGAUGUAGAUCUGCUUGAGCAAAUUUGGUGUCGGUGGGACGAAAGCCUUAGGAGGAGUUAGCGAAAUUCCAAUGUGUGCGGAUCGGGAAAAAAUGCGAAAUAGCCCUUUGACUGUACAUUUUACAGAUGCGUGCACAUUGACUUUUUCGUAGAUCUUAUUGAGAUACACGUGUGUGUCAAAUUUUGUGUCAUUUCGACAAAGCGUAUAGGAGUGACACUCAACAAUGUGUUUUUUCACCUUAGGGGACAAGAAAAAAUGGACUUUUUUCUCCUGCCAUGGGGGGGGGGCGCUCUUUUCGAGAGUAAAAAUUCCUUUACAAAUGUGUUGAUGGCUGGACAUUGCAUCAUCCUAGAAAACUUGGAGGCCAGUGAGGACAAAAAUAAAAAGUUAUAAGACUAUUAAGAAUGUGGAUUUUAGGGUUAUGUUUGGCGCCCCCUAGAACCUAAACCGUGGAGUGCAGCAUCAUGAUUUGUACAACUUUGAAUGGCCAUGGGGUGUAGAUUGGCCUGAGCAAAUUUGGUGGCGGUGGAACGAAAGCCUUCGGAGGAGUUAGCGAAAUUCCAAUGUGUGCGGAUCGGGAAAAAAUGCGAAGUAACCCUUUAACCGUACAUUUUACAGAUACGUGCCCAUUGACUUUUUCGUAGAUGUUAUUGAGAUACACGUGAUUGUCAAAUUUUGGGUCAAUAUGACAAAGCGUAUAGGCGUGACACUCAACAAUGUGUAUUUUCACCUUAGGGGACAAGAAAAAAUUGACUUUUUUCUCCUGCCAUGGGGGGCGCUCUUUUGGGGAGUAAAAAUUCCUUCACAAAUGUGUUGUUGGCUGGACAUUGCAUCAUCCUAGAAAACUUGGAGGCCAUUGAGGACAAAAAUACAAAGUUAUAAGACUUUUAAGACUGUGGAUUUUUGGGUUAUCUUUGGCGCCCCCUAGAACGUAAACCGUGGGGUGCAGCGUCAUGAUUUGUACAACUUUUAAUGGCCAUGGGGUGUAGAUUGGCCUGAGCAAAUGUGGUGCCGGUGGAACGAAUGCCUUCGGAGGAGUUAGAGAAAUUCCAAUGUGUGCAGAUCUGCAAAAAAUGCGAAAUAACCCUCUAACCGUACAUUUCACAGAUGCGCCCGCACUGACUUUUUCGUAGACCGUAUUGCGAUACACGUGUGUGUCAAUUUUUGUUUCAACAUGACAAAGCGUACAGGCGUGACAGUCAAUAGUGUGAAUUUUCACCUUAGGGGGCGCUAUGGAGCCAUUUUGCAUUUUAUUGUUUGGGCGACUUCAGAAUAUCGAAUUUUUCACCAGGCCCGGUCGUCCUGCCAAAUUUCAUGAGUUUUCGCCAGUGGGAAGUGGGCCAUUUUCCCCUUCAAAGGGGAGGAAAAAUAAGAAGAAAGAAAGAAAGAACUAGGGCCCCGUUGGGGCACUGGCGGGCCCGAGCCGUGUCACGCCGCCCCCAGCGCGACCGCCUCCCCCACCCGAUCGCGUCACACUCAAGGUCCAAAGAUGGUGUGCGCACUUGUUUGUGGUCAUUUACCAUUAUAAUGAACGGGAGGCGCAGUUUCUACCAAAACGCUCGCUGCAGAAAAACUCCAUGUCCUAUUUGAAAAAAGUCUGGACCAUGAGUGAGGGCACAAACACAGCUAAGAUAUAUCCAAAUGGCAAGUUGCUCCUCCUUUCGCUUUUGCCGAGAGAGCAGUGCGUUUGAGCCAUUGAAUGAUGAACAGGAAAAACUUGACUUUAUUCUCCUGCCAUGGGGGGGCGCUCUUUUAAAGAGAAAAAACUCCUUCACAAAUGUGUUGAUGGCUGGACAUUGCAUCAUCCUAGAAAACAUGGAGGCCAGUGAGGACAAAAAUAAAAAGUUAUAAGACUUUUAAAUAUGUGGAUUUUAGGGUUAUAUUUGGCGCCCCCUAGAACCUAAACCGUGGGGUGCAGCGUCAUGAUUUGAAUAACUUUUAAUGGCCAUGGGGUGUAGAUUGGCCUGAGCAAAUGUGGUGCCGGUGGAACGAAAGCCUUCGGAGGAAUUAGCGAAAUUCCAAUGUGUGCGAAUCUGCAAAAAAUGCGAAAUAACCCUUUAACUGUACAUUUUACAGAUACGUGGCCAUUGACUUUUUCGAAGAUCUUAUUGAAAUACACGUGUAUGUAAAAUUUUGUGUCAAUACGACAAAACAUACAGGCGUAGCACUCAACAAUGUGUAUUUUCACCUUAGUGGACAAGAAAAAAUUGACUUUUUUCUCCUGCCAUGGGGGGGCGCUCUUUUGGGGAGUAAAAAUUCCUUCACAAAUGUGUUGAUGGCUGGACAUUGCAUCAUCCUAGAAAACUUGGAGGCCAGUGGGGACAAAAAUAAAAAGUUAUAAGACUUUUAAAUAUGUGGAUUUUAGGGUUAUCUUUGGCGCCCCCUAGAACCUAAACCGUGGGGUGCAGCGUCAUGAUUUGAAUAACUUUUAAUGGCCAUGGGGUGUAGAUUGGCCUGAGCAAAUGUGGUGCCGGUGGAACGAAAGCCUUCGGAGGAGUUAGCGAAAUUCCAAUGUGUGCGGAUCGGCAAAAAAUGCGGAAUAACCCUUUAACCGUACAUUUGACAGAUACGCGCGCAUUGACUUUUUCGUAGAUCUUAUUGAGAUACAUGUGUGUGUCAAUUUUUGUGUCAUUUUGCCAAAGCGUACAGGUGUUACACUCAACAAUGUGUAUUUUCACCUUAGGGGACAAGAAAAAAUGGACUUUUUUCUCCUGCCAUGGGGGGGCGCUCUUUUGGGGAGUAAAAAUUCCUUCACAAAUGUGUUGAUGGCUGGACAUUGCAUCAUCCUAGAAAACUUGGAGGCCAGUGAGGGCAAAAAUAAAAAGUUAUAAGACUUUUAAAUAUGUGGAUCUUAGGGUUAUCUUUGGCGCCCCCUAGAACCUAAACCGUGGGGUGCAGCGUCAUGAUUUGAAUAACUUUUAAUGGCCAUGGGGUGUAGAUUGGCCUGAGCAAAUGUGGUGCCGGUGGAACGAAAGCCUUCGGAGGAGUUAGCGAAAUUCCAAUGUGUGCGGAUCGGAAAAAAAUGCGAAAUAACCCUUUAACCGUACAUUUGACAGAUACGCCCGCACUGACUUUUUUGUAGAUCUUAUUGAGAUACAUGUGUGUGUCAAUUUUUGUGUCAUUUUGACAAAGCGUACAGGCGUGACAGUGAAUAGUGUGAAUUUUCACCUUAGGGGGCGCUAUGGAGCCAUUUUGCAUUUUCUUGUUUGGGCGACUUCGGAAUAUCAAAUUUUUCACCAGGCCCGGUCGUCCUGCCAAAUUUCAUGAGUUUUCGCCAGUGGGAAGUGGGCCAUUUUCCAGUUCAAAGGGGAGGAAAAAUAAUAACUAGGACCCCGUUGGGGCACUGGCGGGCCCGAGCCGUGUCGCGUCCCCCCCCCCCACCCCCACCCCCCAACGUGCUGCCUUCCCGUCCCAUUUGUGUCCUCUGGCCAUCGCCCUCUCUGGUAACGCCCAUCACUGCAAAGACCCUUUUCCUUCAUCGGCGUUUGCUGUUCUUCCUGCCAGUGCGUGUUGCUUUCACUUACACUUGCCACAGCCAGCCUCGUGAGUGCCUAGCCUAUUGGAUAUCACUGUCACCUACACAGGACAGUCAUUACCUUUCUAUUAAUACUUUGUGUUUUAAUUUCACAUUAAUUUCCAUAUUGUUUAAACGACUGGAAAAAACUUGAGCCCCUGCCCCUGUAUAAUCAUGUGCAUGUCUCUGUUCUAGCUCCAAGGUGAAUCUUCACUGCUCAUGUUCUCCUCAGAAGCACUCACCUCACUCCCCUCAGGUUACUGUACACAUGCACCAACUGCCUGCUUCAGGUUUGGAUGGAGCUUCAUGGUUGUCUUUUGGAGAAAUGACCAGUCAAGUUGUGUUUGAAAUUUGAUUUUUUUCAGGGGCAAAAGGAGCCUCUGCAUUCUUGUCAAAUAUGUAAAUAGCAUGUUUUUGCAGGUGCUAAAAACCAGACUCUGAGUGUGUGUGUGUGUGUGUGUGUGUGCGUGUGUGUGUGUCUGUGUGUGCGUUCAAGUCACAUGACAUAUUUAACCGGAUGUAGCUGCAAGACGGAGCCUCGUUGACUCUCCGUUUCAACUUAUCUCAAAAGUGAGGACCGCAACCUAUAUACCAGUUUUUAAAUUGUGUUGAUAGGCCAAAUAAAACCAGAGUUAUGAUAAAUUAUGUCCGCGAUACUUUUUUUCUGCUUAUUUUGAUCACGUUCGGCGCUCGAUCGCGCUGUAUGAGACAGGAAAACAUAGCAUGCAGACAUUAGCGACAGGUCUUACAGGCGGAAAAGGCUUGCCAAAAAAAAAAAAAACACACCACAACAUCUCUCCUAUUGGUGGAAAACUUCACCACAACAACCAAUCCAAAAUUAUAUGGUGACUGAUUGACAAGGGGCGGGCGCUUACGUUCUUCCUGCAACAUGAGAAGGGAGGGAGGGACUCUCAGCAGGGAUGCAGUCUGGGACACGUAGUUGCAAACCUAGCGACUUUGUUGUUAGAUUCAAUGACUUUUCAGACACCCUAACGACUUUUUUUUAGAAAGAAAGGGACUUUUAUCGACUUCUUCUGGAGUUUAGAGACUCUGACAUGAAGCAGGCUUUCCUUACUGAGGAGUUAGCAACGCGGCUAAGGGUGCAGAGCCACACAUGCGCUCAGAGCUCUGCAUGGGAGACUGAAGCUGACAGAGCUGCAGCAGUUAGCAGGUUUCACCCUCAGAGACCACCAGGGGUUCAUGUUGAGGCAUUUUAAUUUUUUUUUUUUUUUUGUGCCAUAGACACUGUCAGCACAAUCUGCAGUUACACUAACAAAAAUGCUGCAAAAAACAAAGAAUUAUGGAAAAAUUACACAUGGACUGACAUAGAGGAGGAUCUACACAAGUUUUUUACAUCAUGUUUUACAUCAUGCAUCAUUUACAUCAUGUUUUUUUGUAGUGGCAUAAAUAAAAAGUGACAUUUGUGAGACUAUACAGUGUUUUGUAAAUAAUUUUACAAAGAACGCCUGGGCCAUUGCCUGCAUUUUGAUGUAAAUAGAGGUAAAUUACUAUGUUCUUUGUUAAAAAUUUGCAUAUGUUUUGAAGUUUACAAUUUUUAUUUGAAGUUUAAGUUUUAAAAACAGUUUAUCACACAUAUUUGUGGUUUAAUUUCACAUUAAUUUCCAUAUUGUAUAAAUGACUGGAAAAAACUUGAGCCCCUGCCCCUGUAUAAUCAUGUGCACGUCCCUGUUCUAGCUCCAAGGUGAAUCUUCACUGCUCAUGUUCUCCUCAGAAAUAGUCACCUCACUCCCCUCAGGUUACUGUACACAUGCACCAACUAUCUGCUUCAGGUUUGGAUGGAGCUUCAUGGUUGUCUUUUGGAGAAAUGAACAGUCAAGUUGUGUUUGAAAUUUGAUUUUUUUCAGGGGCAAAAGGAAGCCUCUGCAUUCUUGUCAAAUAUGUAAACAGCAUGUUUUUGCAGGUGCUAAAAAACAGACUCUGAGUGUGUGUGUGUGUCUGUGUGUGUGUGUGUGUGUGUGUGUGUGUGUGUAUGUUGGCGUGUGUGUAUAUGUGUGUGUAUCCUGCAGUACUCUGUACUCCUGCAGUGGCCAAAAAGACUUUUAAGAAUGUGGAUUUUUGGGUCAUCUUUGGCGCCCCCUAGAACUGCAGUACUCUGUACUCCUGCAGUGGCCAAAAUGACUUUUAAGAAUGUGGAUUUUUGGGUCAUUUUUGGCGCCCCCUAGAACGUAAACCGUGGGGUGCAGCGUCAUGAUUUUUACAACUUUGAAUGGGCAUGGGGUGUAGAUUGCCCUGAGCAAAUUUGGUAUCGGUGGGACGAAAGCCUUAGGAGGAGAUAGCCACAUUCCAAUGUGUGCGAAUCGGCAAAAAAUGCAAAAUAGCCCUUUAACCGUACAUUAUACAGAUACGCGCUCUUUGACUUUUUCGUAGAUCUAAUUGAGAUACACAUGAUUGUCCAUUUUUGUGUCAAUAUGACAAAGCGUUCAGGCGUGACACUCAACAAUGUGUAUUUUUAUGUAAGGGGACAAGAAAAAAUUGACUUUUUUCUCCUACCAUGGGGGGGCGCUCUUUUGGGGAGUAAAAAUUCCUUCACAAAUGUGUUGAUGGCUGGACAUUGCAUCAUCCUAGAAAACUUGGAGGCCAGUGAGGACAAAAAUAAAAAGUUAUAAAACAUUUAAGAAUGUGGAUUUUUGGGUUAUUUUUGGCGCCCCCUAGAACCUAAACCAUGGGGUGCAGCAUCAUGAUUUGAAUAACUUUUAAUGGCCAUGGGGUGUAGAUUGGCCUGAGCAAAUGUGGUGCCGGUGGAACGAAAGCCUUCGGAGGAGUUAGCGAAAUUCCAAUGUGUGCGUAUCGGCAAAAAAUGCGGAAUAACCCUUUAACUGUACAUUUGACAGAUACGCGCGCAUGGACUUUUUUGUAGAUCUUAUUGAGUUACAUGUGUGUGUCAAUUUUUGUGUCAUUUUGACAAAGCGUAUAGGCGUGACACUCAACAAUGUGUAUUUUCACCUUAGGGGACAAGAAAAAAUGGACUUUUUUCUCCUGCCAUGGGGGGGCGCUCUUUUGGGGAGUAAAAAUUCCUUCACAAAUGUGUUGAUGGCUGGACAUUGCAUCAUCCUAGAAAACUUGGAGGCCAGUGAGGACAAAAAUAAAAAGUUAUAAGACUUUUAAAUAUGUGGAUUUUAGUGUUAUCUUUGGCGCCCCCUAGAACCUAAACCUUGGGGUGCAGCGUCAUGAUUUUGAUAACUUUUAAUGGCCACGGGGUGUAGAUUGGCCUGAGCAAAUGUGGUGCCGGUGGAACGAAAGCCUUCGGAGGAGUUAGCGAAAUUCCAAUGUGUGCGGAUCGGCAAAAAAUGCGAAAUAACCCUUUAACCGUAAUUUUGACAGAUACGGCCGCACUGACUUUUUUGUAGAUCUUAUUGAGAUACAUAUGUGUGUCAAUUUUUGUGUCAAUAUGACAAAGCGUACAGGCGUGACAGUCAAUAGUGUGAAUUUCCACCUUAGGGGGCGCUAUGGAGCCAUUUUGCAUUUUAUUGUUUGGGCGACUUCAGAAUAUCGAAUUUUUCACCAGGCCCGGUCGUCCUGCCAAAUUUCAUGAGUUUUCGCCAGUGGGAAGUGGGCCAUUUUCCAGUUCAAAGGGGAGGAAAAAGAAGAAAGAAAGAAAGAAAGAAAGAAACAAAGAAAAACCACUUGGGGAAUAAUAGGGCCUACGCCCGGCUGCUCUGCAGCUGGCUCGGGCCCUAAUAACAAAAGAAGGAAACUACAGGAACAAGAGGGCUCUCGCAGCUGCUUAGCAGCUACGCUCGGGCCCUAAAGAAAGAACUAGGGCCCCGGUGGGGCACUGUCGGGCCCGAGCCGCGUCGCGCCGCCCCCAGCGCGACCGCCUCCCCCUCCCGAUCGCGUCACACUCAAGGUCCAAAGAUGGUGUGCGCACUUGUCUGUGGUCAUUUCCCAUUAUAAUGAAUGGGAGGCGCAGUUUCUACCAAAACACUCGCUACAGACAAACUACAUGUCCUAUUUGAAAAAAGUCUGAUCCAUGAGUGAGGGCACAAACACAGCUAGGAUAUAUCCAAACGGCAAGUUGCUCCUCGUUACGGUGUUGCCGGGAGAGCGAUGCGAUUGAGCCAUUGAGUGAUGGGCAGGAAAAACUUGACUGUUUCUCCUGCCAUGGGGGAUGGGGGAUGGGGGAUGGGGGGGGGGGGGGAAAUGUGGAUUCUUUUAAGAAUGUGGAUAUUUGGGUCAUCUUUGGCGCCCCCUAGAACGUAAACCGUGGGGUGCAGCGUCAUGAUUUUUACAACUUUGAAUGGCCAUGGGGUGUAGAUUGGCCUGAGCAAAUUUGGUGUCAGUGGGACGAAAGCCUUAGGAGGAGUUAGCCACAUUCCAAUGUGUGCGAAUCGGCAAAAAAUGCAAAAUAGCCCUUUAACCGUACAUUUUACAGAUACGCGCGCAUUGACUUUUUCGUAGAUCUUAUUGAGAUACAUGUGAUUCUCAAAUUUUGUGUCAAUAUGACAAAGCGUACAGGUAUGACAGUCAACAAUGUGUAUUCUCACCUUAUGGGACAAGAAAAAAUGGACUUUUUUCUCCUGCCAUGGGGGGGCGCUCUUUUGGGGAGUAAAAAUUCCUUCACAAAUGUGUUGAUGGCUGGACAUUGCAUCAUCCUAGAAAACUUGGAGGCCAGUGAGGACAAAAAUAAAAAGUUAUAAGACUUUUAAAUAUGUGGAUUUUAGGGUUAUCUUUGGCGCCCCCUAGAACGUAAACCGUGGGGUGCAGCGUCAUGAUUUGAAUAACUUUGAAUGGCCAUGGGGUGUAGAUUGGCCUGAGCAAAUGUGGUGCCAGUGGAACGAAAGCCUUAGGAGGAGUUAGCCACAUUCCACUGUGUGCGGAUCGGCAAAAAAUGCGGAAUAACCCUUUAACCGUACAUUUGACAGAUACGCACGCAUUGACUUUUUCGUAGAUCUUAUUAAGAUACAUGUGUGUGUCAAUUUUUGUGUCAUUUUGACAAAGCGUACAGGCGUGACACUCAACAAUGUGUAUUUUCACCUUAGGGGACAAGAAAAAAUGGACUUUUUUCUCCUGCCAUGGGGGGGCGCUCUUUUGGGGAGUAAAAAUUCCUUCACAAAUGUGUUGAUGGCUGGACAUUGCAUCAUCCUAAAAAACUUGGAGGCCGGUGAGGGCAAAAAUAAAAAGUUAUAAGACUUUUAAAUAUGUGGAUUUUAGGGUUAUCUUUGGCGCCACCUAGAACCUAAACCGUGGGGUGCAGCGUCAUGAUUUGAAUAACUUUUAAUGGCCAUGGGGUGUAGAUUGGCCUGAGCAAAUGUGGUGCCGGUGGAACGAAAGCCUUCGGAGGAGUUAGCGAAAUUCCAAUGUGUGCGGAUCGGCAAAAAAUGCGAAAUAACCCUUUAACCGUAAAUUUGACAGAUACGCCCGCACUGACUUUUUUGUAGAUCUUAUUGAGAUACAUGUGUGUGUCAAUUUUUGUGUCAUUUUGACAAAGCGUACAGGCGUGACAGUCAAUAGUGUGAAUUUUCACCUUAGGGGGCGCUAUGGAGCCAUUUUGCAUUUUAUUGUUUGGGCGACUUCAGAAUAUCAAAUUUUUCACCAGGCCCGGUCGUCCUGCCAAAUUUCAUGAGUUUUCGCCAGUGGGAAGUGGGCCAUUUUCCAGUUCAAAGGGGAGGAAAAAUAAUAACUAGGACCCCGUUGGGGCACUGGCGGGCCCAACCGUGUCGCGUCCCCCCCCCCCGUCCCCCCCCCCCCCCAACGUGCUGCCUUCCCGUCCCAUUUGUGUCCUCUGGCCAUCGCCCUCUCUGGUAACGCCCAUCACUGCAAAGACCCUUUUCCUUCAUCGGCGUUUGCUGUUCUUCCUGCCAGUGCGUGUUGCUUUCACUUACACUUGCCACAGCCAGCCUCGUGAGUGCCUAGCCUAUUGGAUAUCACUGUCACCUACACAGGACAGUCAUUACCUUUCUAUUAAUACUUUGUGUUUUAAUUUCACAUUAAUUUCCAUAUUGUAUAAACGACUGGAAAAAACUUGAGCCCCUGCCCCUGUAUAAUCAUGUGCAUGUCUCUGUUCUAGCUCCAAGGUGAAUCUUCACUGCUCAUGUUCUCCUCAGAAGCACUCACCUCACUCCCCUCAGGUUACUGUACACAUGCACCAACUGCCUGCUUCAGGUUUGGAUGGAGCUUCAUGGUUGUCUUUUGGAGAAAUGACCAGUCAAGUUGUGUUUGAAAUUUGAUUUUUUUCAGGGGCAAAAGGAGCCUCUGCAUUCUUGUCAAAUAUGUAAAUAGCAUGUUUUUGCAGGUGCUAAAAACCAGACUCUGAGUGUGUGUGUGUGUGUGUGUGUGUGUGCGUGUGUGUGUGUGUGUGCGUUCAAGUCACAUGACAUAUUUAACCGGAUGUAGCUGCAAGACGGAGCCUCGUUGACUCUCCGUUUCAACUUAUCUCAAAAGUGAGGACCUCAACCUAUAUACCAGUUUUUAAAUUGUGUUGAUAGGCCAAAUAAAACCAGAGUUAUGAUAAAUUAUGUCCGCGAUACUUUUUUUCUGCUUAUUUUGAUCACGUUCGGCGCUCGAUCGCGCUGUAUGAGACAGGAAAACAUAGCAUGCAGACAUUAGCGACAGGUCUUACAGGCGGAAAAGGCUUGCCAAAAGAAAAAAAAAACACACCACAACAUCUCUCCUAUUGGUGGAAAACUUCACCACAACAACCAAUCCAAAAUUAUAUGGUGACUGAUUGACAAGGGGAGGGCGCUUACGUUCUUCCUGCAACAUGAGAAGGGAGGGAGGGACUCUCAGCAGGGAUGCAGUCUGGGACACGUAGUUGCAAACCUAGCGACUUUGUUGUUAGAUUCAAUGACUUUUCAGACCCCCUAACGACUUUUUUUUAGAAAGAAAGGGACUUUUAUCGACUUCUUCUGGAGUUUAGAGACUCUGACAUGAAGCAGGCUUUCCUUACUGAGGAGUUAGCAACGCUGCUAAGGGUGCAGAGCCACACAUGCGCUCAGAGCUCUGCAUGGGAGACUGAAGCUGACAGAGCUGCAGCAGUUAGCAGGUUUCACCCUCAGAGACCACCAGGGGUUCAUGUUGAGGCAUUUUAAUUUUUUUUUUUUUUGUGCCAUAGACACUGUCAGCACAAUCUGCAGUUACACUAACAAAAAUGCUGCAAAAAACAAAGAAUUAUGGAAAAAUUACACAUGGACUGACAUAGAGGAGGAUCUACACAAGUUUUUUACAUCAUGUUUUACAUCAUGCAUCAUUUACAUCAUGUUUUUUUGUAGUGGCAUAAAUAAAAAGUGACAUUUGUGAGACUAUACAGUGUUUUGUAAAUAAUUUUACAAAGAACGCCUGGGCCAUUGCCUGCAUUUUGAUGUAAAUAGAGGUAAAUCACUAUGUUCUUUGUUAAAAAUUUGCAUAUGUUUUGAAGUUUACAAUUUUUAUUUGAAGUUUAAGUUUUAAAAACAGUUCAUCACACAUAUUUGUGGUUUUCACAGUAAAAAUGUUACUUUUUUCCACUCGGAUUUUAUGUUUUGUGUGUGAAUUUGGGUCCAUUGUGUAAAUUCAGUAUGUCAACAUGAUAAAAUAACUGUAAAUUCGCACAGGUGAGGUUGUGCUGAAAAAAAUGAUACCAGGCAAGGCACGUGAUUGUCAAAUUUUGUGUCAAUAUGACAAAGCGUAUAGGCGUGAAUCUCAACAAUAUGUAUUUUCACCUUAGGGGACAAGAAAAAAUGGACUUUUUUCUCCUGCCAUGGGGGGGCGCUCUUUUGGGGAGUAAAAAUUCCUUCACAAAUGUGUUGAUGGCUGGACAUUGCAUCAUCCUAGAAAACUUGGAGGCCAGUGAGGACAAAAAUAAAAAGUUAUAAGACUUUUAAAUAUGUGGAUUUUAGGGUUAUCUUUGGCGCCCCCUAGAUCCUAAACCGUGGGGUGCAGCGUCAUGAUUUUGAUAACUUUUAAUGGCCAUGGGGUGUAGAUUGGCCUGAGCAAAUGUGGUGCCGGUGGAACGAAAGCCUUAGGAGGAGUUAGCCACAUUCCAAUGUGUGCGGAUCGGCAAAAAAUGCGGAAUAACCCUUUAACCGUACAUUUGACAGAUACGCGCGCAUUGACUUUUUCGUAGAUCUUAUUGAGUUACAUGUGUGUGUCAAUUUUUGUGUCAUUUUGACAAAGCGUAUAGGCGUGACACUCAACAAUGUGUAUUUUCACCUUAGGGGACAAGAAAAAAUGGACUUUUUUCUCCUGCCAUGGGGGGGCGCUCUUUUGGGGAGUAAAAAUUCCUUCACAAAUGUGUUGAUGGCUGGACAUUGCAUCAUCCUAGAAAACUUGGAGGCCAGUGAGGACAAAAAUAAAAAGUUAUAAGACUUUUAAAUAUGUGGAUUUUAGUGUUAUCUUUGGCGCCCCCUAGAACCUAAACCUUGGGGUGCAGCGUCAUGAUUUUGAUAACUUUUAAUGGCCACGGGGUGUAGAUUGGCCUGAGCAAAUGUGGUGCCGGUGGAACGAAAGCCUUCGGAGGAGUUAGCGAAAUUCCAAUGUGUGCGGAUCGGCAAAAAAUGCGAAAUAACCCUUUAACCGUAAUUUUGACAGAUACGGCCGCACUGACUUUUUUGUAGAUCUUAUUGAGAUACAUGUGUGUGUCAAUUUUUGUGUCAUUUUGACAAAGCGUACAGUCGUGACAGUGAAUAGUGUGAAUUUUCACCUUAGGGGGCGCUAUGGAGCCAUUUUGCAUUUUAUUGUUUUGGCGACUUCAGAAUAUCAAAUUUUUAACCAGGCCCGGUCGUCCUGCCAAAUUUCAUGAGUUUUCGCCAGUGGGAAGUGGGCCAUUUUCCAGUUCAAAGGGGAGGAAAAAGAAAAAAGAAAGAAAGAAACAAAGACUAGGGCCCCGUUGGGGCACUGGCGGGCCCGAGCCGUGUCGCGCUGCCCCCCCCAACGCGCUGCCUCCCCGUCCCAUUCGCAUCCUCUGGCCAUCGUCCUCUCUGGUAACGCCCAUCACUGCAAAGACCCUUUCCUUCAUCGGCGUUUGCUGUUCUUCCUGCCAGUGCGUGUUGCUUUCACUUACACUUGCCACAGCCAGCCUCGUGAGUGCCUAGCCUAUUGGAUAUCACUGUCAUCUACACAGGACAGUCAUAACCUUUCUAUUAAUACUUUGUUUUUUAAUUUCACAUUAAUUUCCAUAUUGUAUAAAUGACUGGAAAAAACUUGAGCCCCUGCCCCUGUAUAAUCAUGUGCACGUCCCUGUUCUAGCUCCAAGGUGAAUCUUCACUGCUCAUGUUCUUCUCAGAAAUAGUCACCUCACUCCCCUCAGGUUACUGUACACAUGCACCAACUAUCUGCUUCAGGUUUGGAUGGAGCUUCAUGGUUGUCUUUUGGAGAAAUGAACAGUCAAGUUGUGUUUGAAAUUUGAUUUUUUUCAGGGGCAAAAGGAAGCCUCUGCAUUCUUGUCAAAUAUGUAAACAGCAUGUUUUUGCAGGUGCUAAAAAACAGACUCUGAGUGAGUGUGUGUGUGUGUGUGUGUGUGUGUGUGUGUGUUGGCGUGUGUGUAUAUGUGUGUGUAUCCUGCAGUACUCUGUACUCCUGCAGUGGCCAAAAAGACUUUUAAGAAUGUGGAUUUUUGGGUCAUCUUUGGCGCCCCCUAGAACUGCAGUACUCUGUACUCCUGCAGUGGCCAAAAUGACUUUUAAGAAUGUGGAUUUUUGGGUCAUCUUUGGCGCCCCCUAGAACGUAAACCGUGGGGUGCAGCGUCAUGAUUUUUACAACUUUGAAUGGGCAUGGGGUGUAGAUUGCCCUGAGCAAAUUUGGUAUCAGUGGGACGAAAGCCUUAGGAGGAGAUAGCCACAUUCCAAUGUGUGCGAAUCGGCAAAAAAUGCGAAAUAGCCCUUUAACCGUACAUUAUACAGAUACGCGCUCUUUGACUUUUUCGUAGAUCUAAUUGAGAUACACAUGAUUGUCAAUUUUUGUGUCAAUAUGACAAAGCGUUCAGGCGUGACACUCAACAAUGUGUAUUUUCAUGUAAGGGGACAAGAAAAAAUUGACUUUUUUCUCCUGCCAUGGGGGGGCGCUCUUUUGGGGA